RNAcentral lists this ribosomal RNA (403 nucleotides) under uncultured bacterium. RNAcentral's name for it is "bacterial SSU rRNA". It matches the Rfam family "Bacterial small subunit ribosomal RNA", at positions 355 to 775 of the family's 1533-position model. The record is from RNAcentral.
UGGGGAAUAUUGGACAAUGGGCGCAAGCCUGAUCCAGCAAUGCCGCGUGGAUGAAGAAGGUUUUCGGAUUGUAAAGUCCUUUCGGCGGGGACGAUGAUGACGGUACCCGCAGAAGAAGCCCCGGCUAACUUCGUGCCAGCAGCCGCGGUAAUACGAAGGGGGCUAGCGUUACUCGGAAUGACUGGGCGUAAAGGGCGCGUAGGCGGUUUGUACAGUCAGGCGUGAAAUUCCUGGGCUUAACCUGGGGGCUGCGUUUGAUACGUGCAGACUAGAGUGGGGAAGAGGGUCGUGGAAUUCCCAGUGUAGAGGUGAAAUUCGUAGAUAUUGGGAAGAACACCGGUGGCGAAGGCGGCGACCUGGUCCUUGACUGACGCUGAGGCGCGAAAGCGUGGGGAGCAAACAG